UCAAACUAUUUCUAUAAAUGGCAGAAUUAUUUUGCUCAGAUCUAGAUUGUGCAAUUGUGGAAAAAUGGAGAAGAAGAUGCUGAUAGUAGUUUUAGCGACGCUUCUGGUCAUAUUUUCAGCAAACAUGGAGGGCGUUGAAUCCCAAGGCAUCGGCUGCUACGAUUCCUGUUCAACAGGCUGCGUUAAUCCUGACAGUAAGAUUUUUUUUUUCUUAAUGGGGUGGGGAUAGGGGGUGGUUGUAGAAAGCAUUUUUCGUUUGUUAAAGAAUUUUUAACUGGAAAUUGAAACAAAUUUUUUUUGGAUGCUGUUUACUGUAUAAUUAUUUUCAUUUUUCUGUAUAAUUUAGUGAGGCUAAUGCAGCGAUGCGACCGCAAGUGCCAGAUAAGGUGCAGUCCAGGUAUUUUCCCAGAUUAAGUCGAGUUUUCUUUUUCUGAUUUAGAAUUAUUAUGUGCUGUGCUUUCUGCUAAUAUAGGUACUCUUUGAUAUCAGUAUAUUUGGUUGGGGGAUGACUGGGGCUUUUUCAUAAACUAGUCACCGUGGAAUGUGCAUUAUUAUGAAAUGCUUAUAAAUGCUCUAAAAGUAAUAUUUGAAUCUGUUUAAAUAUUAAUUAAUUUAAAAUUAAUAUGAGGGAAUAUAUACAAGAUUAUGAACGUUAAAAGUGAAACAACUGCCUAUACUGGAGUUAAGAUCUGUUAUCCAGGCAUCGGGCUUAAUGGAUGUUAAUUAGUAUGCAUGAACGUGAAUAAUGAAAUGUAUUCUUCAAUUUGAAUUUCUAAUUAAAUUAUAAUUAAUAAUACUAAAAUGCAUAAAUGAAAUGAAUAUUAGUUAAAUGAAUGUGAAUGUUUAUUAAUUGAGAAAUAAUAAUAAAGAAGUCAUAUAUUAACGAAAGCACACAAAUGAAAUGAAUACGUCGAAUGCACGUCUACGUUGAUUAAUUAAAUGGUUAAAGAAAUUAAAUACAUAUUAAAAAAUGAAAAGUAAUGUAUUAUUGUAAUAAUUGAAUUAUAGUGAUAUCUAAUUCCAAUUAAGUAAUUAAAUAAAUGUGAAGAUGAAUAUUAAUUAAAUAAAUGUGAACGUUAAUUAACUGAGAAUAAUUGAAGGGUGAUGCUACAUGUAUGUUAGGAUGUCCAUAACGGUGUUCACCCACUCACAUGGAAGGGACCCACUUCGAAUAAAAUAUAAUUUGUUCAAAAUGGGUCCCCCUUCAUAUAAAGGGGGUGGACACCAUUAUGGACACAUAUUGUAUAUAAGUAGUAUAUUCUAAAAUUGAAUUAUAAUAAGACUAGAAUCAUCCAAAAAAUGAUUAUGAUUUGAUGUGAUAUUUAGUGUCUGUUUGACAAUCUUUAAUUUAUUAUAUAGUUUGCUAUUGGAUCAUUUUCAACCACACAUUCACACAAUAAAAUAUUAUACACGUAUACCAAAAUUUUUGCCUACUUUUGACCAUACAUUUCCCCAAAAUCACUAUUCGAAACUCUUUCUUUCAACACUAAUUGUUGUCAAACAGGCUCUUAAUAAAUUAUGAAUAAGCAUUGGAUAUCUUUGUUCUGCUCGGGUGCAAUUUGUUGGAGUUUUGCAUAAGAGGAAACAAAACAAGUUUUAAGAUUUUCAGCUUGUCAAUUUGUGGAGUCCGCUUGAGUUCAGCUUGUCAAUAUAAAGUUAGUAUAUUAAAAUGAAACAUGAACCUUAGUGUUUGAGAAUUAGAAACCCAAUUCAACCUAAUUUUAUACCACCAGAGCUCGCAGAAAUGAAUAAAGACACACAAGAUUUAUAGAGGGUUACCUCACAAAUAUGAGAUUACAUCAUCUUUCGCCACUGCAAUAAUCCACUAACAUGAAAAGAAGUUUACAAUAGAAAAUCCCACACACUAUCUUAUCUAACCUUUCUGUCCCUUUUUUAUGGUAAUACAAAAAUAUAAUGACGACUCCCUAUUUAUAAGAUAAAUUAUGGAAAAAUCAUUAUUUACAAGGACACAAAAUCAAUCCUCAUGUAGGCUCUGCACAGCAGCAAUAAUUAGGUUCCACUACUUAACACUUAGAGUGUGUUUGAUUGACAUGAAAAAUAUUAUCUAGAAAAGAAAAUAUUUUCCAUCUUUUGUGGAAAAUAAAAAUCACCUCUACCCAAAGAAAAUGUUUUCCUUAAAAACAAGGAAAAUUAGGCAUAUUUUCAAAAGUUGGAAAACGUUUUCCAUGAAAAAAAUAGCAAUCAAACACUUUAAGUAGGAAUUUGGGUGAAAAACUGAUAUUUUUCAUGAAAAAUAAAUGUAAUCAAACACACCCUUAACUCUUUUUCAGAACUAUUGAUUUGAAUAAUCAGUAAGCAGGCUUGUUUACUAUAUGAAGCUGAGUUUUUCGUUGCAUAUUUUACUUUCCCAAGUAUGUCUGCAAGAAAAGAAAGACAAGGUUCAUUUGAAACCAGUGCAUUCAUUUUGUACUAAUAAAUAAAUAAAGAACUGGACUCGGCUUGGAAAAUGGGCUUUAUUCAUCAAAUUAUAUAGCAUUAUUUUUCUGCAUCUACCUGUUCACUCUUUGAUAUCAAUGAUAUAGCACAUGGCGUAACCAUUUAGAUUACAAUGAUUGUAUGUUCUGCACUCUGGUCACCUCGAAGCCUAAGAAAUGGUUCAGUUAUACAUAAGCAUACAUGUUCUAAUUACAUACGUGUAUAUGCAUGUGUACAAGAAAACUUUAAACAUAAGUUUGGGAGGUAUGAAUCAGAAUCAAGCUUAAAACUUUCUAGGAUAGGAUUCAUAAUUUUUACCAAAAUGUUCCCACAUGGGCAAGGCACUAAAGAUCUCUGUAGUGCUUAACAUGAUAGUACAAUAUAAGGUGAAAAGAAGCAUACACCUCUAGUGUCAUUCAAUUGAGAGACUUGUUAACCUUUUUAACACUUAAUAUUUACAUUUAGCUUUUUAAAUUUUCCACAAACAUGAUGCAUGUAUCAUUAGAAUAAGAGAUCAAGAUGGUGAUGAAAGUAGAAAAUCUAUCGCUUGCAAUGGAUAAUUAAUAUGUUUUUUGUUCAAAUCAAAUGUUAUUGCAAAAGGAUGGACUAGGUGUCUAAUUCUAUGUUUUCAUUCUACUAACCGUGAGUUAUGAAACUUCCAAACAAUUGGCUCAACUAUAUUUCAUCAUCAUCAGUUGAAGUUGGGGCACGUAGGAACAUAUAAUGUUGUUAUACUGUUCUUAUGCUGUUGUGCAAGAGAUCAGACGUGCAAAUUUAUGAACUUUUUAAAAGAUCAAAGUGACGAGUGUCUUUCAUGUACAGAAACAGAUGAAUCUAAGAUAAUCAUCUUAACAAAGAUAUGAUGUUCUACACACAUACCUAACCUUUUGCUAGAAUUGGUUAAGUAUAUAACCAUGGUAACGUGGUUUUCUAUCAAUUUAGGCCAAAUAAUCGAACUUGAUCCGAUGGUCAAAUUAUGGAAAUAAAUAAACUAACUUUUUCUACUCGUCGAGUAGAUUGAUGUGGUAUAUUAUUUGGAAUCUCAAAAUCAGUUUCGGAUGAAUGAGAAAUAUAGUCCAAGGUUGGAAUGAAAAAAGGAAAACUGGCCGGGUAUUAGCCCAACUCCAUCGCUCGCCUAUCACUCGAGCGGUGAGCAGGCAAUAAGAUUGUUGCUUGAGCAACAAACGAGCGAUAGCCUUUCUAUUUUCGACGCUCGAGCGACGGACGAGUGACAAGAAAGGCUGCGAACUUGGCAAAGAUUGCUGAGUUUUGAAGCGUGUCUCUUCAUUCACAAUCUCUUCCCCUCUAUAGAUUAGACCCUUGGGACGUCCUUUACUUUAUCCCAAUGAUAUGCAAUCAUAGUAUAACAUAAACAUUCAUAUUUCCUUAACCAAAAUUCUACAUAAAAAAUCUAUUUUCAUUUCGUUUCAUUUAAAAGGAGUAUAAAAGCCACAUUUUGAUUAGCUUUUCUUGUGUUUUGAUAUGAUAUAAACACAAGAAGUUAGUCAUUGUAUCUUGGGGGUUGAUUGCUAUCAUUCAUAGGCACUGUUGCAAGACAAAAUCGACUUAAGGAUAAAGAGUUCAAUUCUUACCUCGACUUUGCAUUCAUUUCUUUGGUGUUACUUUGUCCAAUUUCAUUGGCAUUUUAAUAUAAUUUUUGUGGUGUUUAUUUUUCCAUUUUUUGUCGUUACUUUGUCCAAAUUUUGAUAAGGUUGGUGAGUUUGAUUUUAAAGUCAUCACUCAGAUCCCUUUUCAAACCACACCUUUCACAUUUUAGUGUGUGUACCAUUGCUAAGAAGGGUCCAUCACCCAAUGGAGUUAUUUGACGCAUACCAAUUGACAUGCGUAGAACUACUCCUGUAUGCGUUGAAGUUAGGGAACUCCCUAUUGUUAUCAAUCACCCUUGAAAAUUUGAACAAACAUUAUAUUCAGAAAAACAUUGAAGCCAUUUUGCUAUAUAUUGCUAUAUAUAACACCUUAGUAACUUUAAGAAAUUAUACAUAAUUGUGAUUUAGUUGUCCAAAUUCUAUUGAAUCAAGCUUAUGCAGGUUUCUAUUCAAUUAUACUUUCUUUACAUCCCUUCUCAAAAUUGGAUUAGAUAUGUGUGAGUAUGUGUGUGUUAGUAUACAAAUAACUUCAUGAUAUCCAAUGUCAGAUUGAAAGAUUAUCAUUAACGUGCAUCUCUUAAUCAAAUUUAUGCUGAUCUCUGUAAUUGAUGGUUUUCUUGACAUUGGCAGGACUUGAAUCGAGUAAGAAUUGAAGUUACUCAAUAAAAGCAUCCCGGGGUGUCAUGAACUCAGUUGGGAAGAUGCAUCUCGUGACUGCCGAGAAGUUAAGACCUUUGUUUCUGUAUGCACAUUAUUCGGAUAAAUAAGUGCAAUAAAAAGUAUUGUUCCACAAGUUUAUAUCAGUAAUAGAAUGUUCAUUACUUCUCGAUGUCUAAUUAUGUAGUUUUAUUGUACGCCUGGUAAUUUUAAGAAUUGUUGCUUAUUCAUUUUGUUCUAUAGUGAGUUCAUAUCUUGCCAAUAGGGAGAAAAAUUUAAGCAUGGAUGCAAGUGAUUCCCGUUUUGGAUUGUUCCACAAUUCCUAGAUCAUGUUGGAUGAAAUGAUGCGGUUGACAACACUAUGAAAAGCUAAUAAAUAGCUCACGUGCAAAUUCUCGACUCCAUGUACACUGUGUGAGGACUUCAAACAUGUUUGAUAUUUUAGAUUGAACAAUAUCAAAAAUAAAAAGUUAAAAUCUUGAUCAUGCUAAAAUAAUAUGGGUAAAUUUCA
RNAcentral lists this long non-coding RNA (5211 nucleotides) under Olea europaea subsp. europaea. The record is from RNAcentral. Lineage: Eukaryota; Viridiplantae; Streptophyta; Magnoliopsida; Lamiales; Oleaceae.